RNAcentral lists this ribosomal RNA (253 nucleotides) under uncultured bacterium. Its description in RNAcentral is "partial 16S ribosomal RNA". It matches the Rfam family "Bacterial small subunit ribosomal RNA", at positions 524 to 776 of the family's 1533-position model. The record is from RNAcentral.
GACAGAGGGUGCAACCGUUGUUCGGAUUUACUGGGCGUAAAGCGCGUGUAGGCGGCUUUGCAAGUCGGAUGUGAAAGCCCACGGCUCAACCGUGGAAGUGCAUCCGAAACUGCAUGGCUGGAGUCUCGGAGAGGAAGGUGGAAUGCUUGGUGUAGAGGUGAAAUUCGUAGAUAUCAAGCAGAACACCUGCGGCGAAGGCGGCCUUCUGGACGAUGACUGACGCUGAGGCACGAAAGCGUGGGGAUCAAACAGG